GUGGGGAAUCUUGCGCAAUGGGCGAAAGCCUGACGCAGCCAUGCCGCGUGAAUGAUGAAGGUCUUAGGAUUGUAAAAUUCUUUCACCGGGGACGAUAAUGACGGUACCCGGAGAAGAAGCUCCGGCUAACUUCGUGCCAGCAGCCGCGGUAAUACGAAGGGGGCUAGCGUUGCUCGGAAUUACUGGGCGUAAAGGGCGCGUAGGCGGACAGCUUAGUCAGAGGUGAAAGCCCAGGGCUCAACCUUGGAAUUGCCUUUGAUACUGGCUGUCUUGAGUUUGGGAGAGGUGAGUGGAACUCCGAGUGUAGAGGUGAAAUUCGUAGAUAUUCGGAAGAACACCAGUGGCGAAGGCGACUCCCUGGCCCAAUACUGACGCUGAGGCGCGAAAGCGUGGGGAGCGAACAGGAUUAGAAACCCUUGUAGUCC
Molecule: ribosomal RNA, 425 nt
Filed under: uncultured bacterium
Lineage: Bacteria
Description: bacterial SSU rRNA
Rfam family: Bacterial small subunit ribosomal RNA
Source: RNAcentral